UGGGGAAUAUUGCACAAUGGAGGGAACUCUGAUGCAGCGACGCCGCGUGAACGAAGAAGGCUUUCGAGUCGUAAAGUUCUUUUAUAUGGGAAGAUAAUGACGGUACCAUAAGAAAAAGCCCCGGCUAACUACGUGCCAGCAGCCGCGUUAAUACGUAGGGGGCUAGCGUUGUCCGGAAUCACUGGGCGUAAAGGGUUCGCAGGCGGAAAUGCAAGUCAGGUGUAAAAGGCAGUAGCUUAACUACUGUAAGCAUUUGAAACUGCAUAUCUUGAGAAGAGUAGAGGUAAGUGGAAUUUUUAGUGUAGCGGUGAAAUGCGUAGAUAUUAAAAAGAAUACCGGUGGCGAAGGCGACUUACUGGGCUCAUUCUGACGCUGAGGAACGAAAGCGUGGGUAGCAAACAGG
RNAcentral lists this ribosomal RNA (403 nucleotides) under bacterium. Its description in RNAcentral is "partial 16S ribosomal RNA". It matches the Rfam family "Bacterial small subunit ribosomal RNA", at positions 355 to 776 of the family's 1533-position model. The record is from RNAcentral.